This 223-nucleotide ribosomal RNA is filed under the name uncultured Thorsellia sp. RNAcentral's name for it is "partial 16S ribosomal RNA". It matches the Rfam family "Bacterial small subunit ribosomal RNA", at positions 568 to 790 of the family's 1533-position model. The record is from RNAcentral. Lineage: Bacteria; Pseudomonadati; Pseudomonadota; Gammaproteobacteria; Enterobacterales; Thorselliaceae.
CAUGCAGGCGGUUAGACAAGUCAGAUGUGAAAUCCCCGCGCUUAACGUGGGCAUUGCAUCUGAAACUAUGUAGCUAGAGUUCUGUAGAGGGGGGUAGAAUUCCAGGUGUAGCGGUGAAAUGCGUAGAGAUCUGGAGGAAUACCGAUUGCGAAGGCAGCCCCCUGGACAGUGACUGACGCUCAUAUGCGAAAGCGUGGGGAUCAAACAGGAUUAGAUACCCUGU